RNAcentral lists this ribosomal RNA (560 nucleotides) under uncultured bacterium. RNAcentral describes it as "bacterial SSU rRNA". It matches the Rfam family "Bacterial small subunit ribosomal RNA", at positions 337 to 898 of the family's 1533-position model. The record is from RNAcentral.
UCCUACGGGAGGCAGCAGUAGGUAAUAUUGGGCAAUGGCCGAGAGGCUGACCCAGCCAUGCCGCGUGCAGGAAGAAGGCCUUCUGGGUUGUAAACUGCUUUUACCAGGGAAGAAAACGCUCCUGCGGGGGUAACUGACGGUACCUGGUGAAUAAGCACCGGCUAACUCCGUGCCAGCAGCCGCGGUAAUACGGAGGGUGCGAGCGUUGUCCGGAUUUAUUGGGUUUAAAGGGUGCGUAGGCGGCCCGUUAAGUCAGCGGUGAAAUCCCACGGCUCAACCGUGGAACUGCCGUUGAUACUGGCGGGCUUGAGUUCGGUCGAGGCGGGCGGAACUGGUGGUGUAGCGGUGAAAUGCUUAGAUACCACCAAGAACCCCGAUUGCGUAGGCAGCUCGCUGGGCCGAAACUGACGCUGAGGCACGAAAGCGUGGGGAGCGAACAGGAUUAGAUACCCUGGUAGUCCACGCCGUAAACGAUGAUGACUCGAUGUCGGCGACACACGGUCGGCGUCCAAGCGAAAGCGUUAAGUCAUCCACCUGGGGAGUACGCCCGCAAGGGUGAA